ACACUCACACCUUGCCAUAUAACUUACAUAUAAAACAGAUUAUUAACCAUAAAACUUAAAGAAGUAUAGGAGAUAGAAUCUUUAAAAAUGAGCAAUAGAGAACUAGUAUCGCAAGAGAAAGGCUACAAUAAAAAAUAGAAGAGUUAAACACUCGUCCCUUGUGUAUCAUGGUUUAGCCAUUAUAGAACUUACAUUAAGUAUUCCGAAGCCUGAUGAGCUACUAAUCCCCUGUUAAGAACCCAAUAGUCCUUGUGGCACUAAGGUUAAGAGAGAUUUUAGUAGAGAUGAAAUGUCUUACGCAUCAGAGAAUAGCUGAUUUCUAAAGAAAUGUAUAAAAGUACAGGAAAGAAUAAUCUUAUCCUCCCAUUAAAGGGAUAAUCUUUUAAUGGAAAGAGCUUUAUGGACUUAUAACCCUUCACCAUAGUCUAGGCUUAAAAUCAGCCCUGAACAUGAACCAAGUUACACUGUAAUGAGAAACUAAGGCAUAAUUAUAUAAUCAUAAUCUUAAUCUAUUUAGAAACUCUGACCAACUUACCUCAGAAGAUAUUCUGCUAAAAUAAGUAUAAUGUAUAACUAACUUCUAACUUAUAGUAAAGUACAUCUAUAAAGUAUGAAUAAGGAACUCGGCAAAUAAAAGCUUCGUCUGUUUAUCAAAAACAUAGCUCUUGAAAUUAUGAAAGGUAAGACCUGCCCAGUGGAUCUAACGGCUGCAGU
Molecule: ribosomal RNA, 714 nt
Filed under: Asajirella gelatinosa
Lineage: Eukaryota; Metazoa; Bryozoa; Phylactolaemata; Lophopodidae
Description: partial 16S ribosomal RNA
Source: RNAcentral